This 253-nucleotide ribosomal RNA is filed under the name uncultured bacterium. RNAcentral's name for it is "partial 16S ribosomal RNA". It matches the Rfam family "Bacterial small subunit ribosomal RNA", at positions 524 to 776 of the family's 1533-position model. The record is from RNAcentral.
UACGUAGGGGGCAAGCGUUAUCCGGAAUUACUGGGCGUAAAGCGCACGCAGGCGGUUCGCCAAGUUUGGAGUGACAGUUGUCGGCUCAACCGACAAAGGACUUCAAAAACUGGUGAACUUGAGGACGAGAGAGGAACAUGGAACUCCAGGUGUAGUAGUGAAAUGCGUAGAUAUCUGGAAGAACACCAAUGGCGAAGGCAAUGUUUUGGCUCGUUUCUGACGCUCAGGUGCGAAAGCCAGGGGAGCGAACGGG